AUUGAACGCUGGCGGCAUGCCUUACACAUGCAAGUCGAACGGUAACAGGUCUUCGGAUGCUGACGAGUGGCGAACGGGUGAGUAAUACAUCGGAACGUGCCCGAUCGUGGGGGAUAACGCAGCGAAAGCUGUGCUAAUACCGCAUACGAUCUACGGAUGAAAGCGGGGGAUCGCAAGACCUCGCGCGGACGGAGCGGCCGAUGGCAGAUUAGGUAGUUGGUGGGAUAAAAGCUUACCAAGCCGACGAUCUGUAGCUGGUCUGAGAGGACGACCAGCCACACUGGGACUGAGACACGGCCCAGACUCCUACGGGAGGCAGCAGUGGGGAAUUUUGGACAAUGGGCGCAAGCCUGAUCCAGCCAUGCCGCGUGCAGGAUGAAGGCCCUCGGGUUGUAAACUGCUUUUGUACGGAACGAAAAAGCUCUCUCUAAUACAGGGGGUGAAUGACGGUACCGUAAGAAUAAGCACCGGCUAACUACGUG
Molecule: ribosomal RNA, 482 nt
Filed under: uncultured bacterium
Lineage: Bacteria
Description: partial 16S ribosomal RNA
Rfam family: Bacterial small subunit ribosomal RNA
Source: RNAcentral